RNAcentral lists this long non-coding RNA (1617 nucleotides) under Cyanistes caeruleus (blue tit). Its description in RNAcentral is "lncRNA (ENSCCEG00000011502.1)". The record is from RNAcentral. Lineage: Eukaryota; Metazoa; Chordata; Aves; Passeriformes; Paridae.
UGGAGAUUGCUGUAUGUAUUUUAUCAAUCCUUUGAGAGCUGUUGAGCUCCAGGCCUCAAAUUAAAGUUAUCCUUAAUCACUGUGCAAGCCAUUGGGGUGGACGGUAGCACAGCAACCUUCUAUUUUCUGAUGCAGGACAGUUUGGGAGCUGCAGGUUUGCCACAAAUUACCAACAACACUUGGUUCCUGGAAGCAUCCUCACAGGCCUGGCAAGGAGCCUGAGUCUGCAGCAGAGAGAUGUGGCAAAGAGGAAGUAAAUGUGGAGCAGAGCAUGUGCCUGAAAGACUGCAGGUUUUUGGCUGCUCUCUGAGGUCAGCACUGCUGAAGGGAGGCCUGUUGCCUUCUCCAGGACUGGAAGCUCCUGCAGCAGCAGGAGGUGAGUCCUUCCCCUCAGGCUGUGCCCCUGCUGUUGGGGGGCAUGGGUGCAGUCGGUGCAGGUUUUCUCUGCCACUCUUAUUUCAGGCUGUCACUGACUCCAGAAGAUGCAGCAGAGCCCUUGUGGCCACAGGCUUAAGGCACGCCCUUAGCUAAGGAAUCUGCCCUGUUUGUCCACACCAAGGUUUUACCCUCCCAAAUGGUAUUCCUCAGCAUUAAACCUGUGGGCAGGUGGGUCCUUCCCACAUCUCUCUGCUUUGCUGUGAAGCUGCCCUUGUGUUUCCAGUCUGCUCUCCCUCUCCAUGUCUGUAAGGCUUGCUGUGUGUAAAGGCAGAUGGAGAAAAUGAAUCGGCCCCAGAAGACGGAAGAAGAGCCAGGUGAGGAGGCUACACCUGUGCUAGAGAGGAGCCAUCAGGAGGAGGACCUGCAGUUCCAAGGGAAACACAGCCCCUCCAUGGCACCAGUGGAUUCUCCCAGGGUUUUCCAGCUCUCUCUGUCUGCUGAGGCAGUGUUGAUUCAGGUCCAAGGAAAAGGGGGAGGUUUUAUCAACAUGAACCCCCUGAUGGGGAUCCAUCAGGUGUGUAACAACACUUCUCGGACUGCUGUGUCCUCUAGGGAUAGGAAAUGCUAAUUAUUAUUAAUGACACCCUGUGACUUUUAUUAUUAACAAUUCUAAUUAAUUGGAUUAUUGCUAUUUCUUCUCUUGGGGGUGGCACACAGAAGUGAUGGGCAUUGCUUUGAAUACAGAAGAGGGAAAAGAGGGACCUCAGGUGAUGUUAUUUGGGUAAUAUAAAGUGACAGAGGUGACAGAUCUGGGAGACUGGUCCUAGAGGGAGCAGGGAUUAGCAAUGCCGGCACCAAACCCUACACAGACUGGGUGGUUUUGCUAUUUUCCAGCUAUAAAGACAUAAAAGACUAAAACUAGUGCUUAAUCCUAGCACUCCUUAGGCUGUGCCUGAAUCAAUGAUGAGUCUCUCCAGGUUUUUGUACAGGCAAGGCUAAGGCCAGGAGAAAACUGGCAGCAGACAGUGUCUGCACACGGCACAAGAGUGCCUUUGUCCCCAAAUCUUUGUCUUGUCACGCUCGGUCAGACAAUCCAUGGUGAUGCCCAACACAUCUGCCCAUCACACCAGUUCCUCCUUGCCUUGAGCUUGGCAUGAGAUAGUCUUCCUUGUGGUGAGACCCAUCAUUAAAUGUAUGGCACAGCACCAGCUCACCAAAAAUAGCUCUGAAGAAAGAGAG